AAGAGACCCUCCUGUGCUAAAGGGCCCUGGCAGAGAUUACACACCUAACCUGGGACGUAAAGUGACUGAGUAUCCAGAUUUGCCACCAGGAGCUGAGUUCUGUCACAUUCACCCAGCCUUAGGGCUGGGAGGGGUCAGCAGCAUUCCGUCAUCAGGUGGGAGUAGGUCUGGGAACAGCCAUGAGUCAGGAAUAUAAGCAAGCUGCAUGAGUAGCUGGCCCUGUUCCUGUGUCAACUAUUCUUUGUACCAGUGCCUCUGUCCUAGCUCAUAUGAAUGUGGAUUAGCUUUCUAUUGUUGCCUAACUAUAUUAUAAACUUAGCAGCCUACAUUAGUAGAUACUAAAUAUUUCAUAGUUUCUGUGGGUCAGAGCUUGAGCAUGACUUAGCUGGGCCCUCUUCAGGUUCUCACAAAACUGAUUGAGACAUGGACAGGCUGUUAUUAUCUGAGGAUCAACCCCAGGGUGAUUCAGUCCCAGCUGCAUGUACUUAUUUGUCAGAAUCCAGUUCCUUGCCCACUGCCACCUUGAGGGGCUUGGUUUCUGAUUGGCCGUUGGAGAGACGCCCCCUUUAGGUCCUUGUCACCUGUUCCUUCCAUGUGGCAGCUCAUAACAUAGUCACUUGCUCCUUCAAAGCAAAUGAGUCAUGAGGAAUGCCUUGCAAGAUGGGUCUUACCAUAUUUUUUUUUUUUUAAGAUUUAUUUACUGAUGGCUCCACUGGGUCUUCAUUGCUGCGUGUGGGGUUUCUCUCGUUGCAGUGAGCAGGGGCUGCUCUCCUGCUGUGGUGCAUGGGCUUCUCACUGUGGUUUAUUUUGUUGUGGAACAUGGGCUCUAGGCAUGUGGGCUUCAGUAGUUGUGGUGCACCGACUCUCUUGUCGCUUGGCACGUGGGAUCUUCCCAGAUCAAGGACCAAACCUGUGUCCCCUGCAUUGGCAGGCAGGUUUAUGACCAGUGAGCCACCAGGGAAGCCCAGGGGCCUUGCUAUCUCAUGUCAUGUAUUAUGUACGGAUUCUCUUGUACGUCCCAUUGCCUUUGCUUUAUUCCACUGAUGAGAAGCAAGUUGCAGAACUUUCCCACACUGAAGAGAUUGCCUGAGAGAGGGAACACCAGGACGCAGGGCUCAUGGGGGCCACUCUGCAACCUGCCUGCCUCAGACUGCAUGGAGGAUUCCAAUGACAAGCUGACAGAGGAGGAUAAAGGCUAAGCUUGGUUCGUGGACAGGCCUCCUGGGACCUGAGCCCAAGGCAGGAAAUCCAAGCUGCAGGCCCGUCGUAGCACCUGGACAACUUCUGCCCAUCACAUGGGUAACGAAAGUGGACCCAGGAACCUUUGAAAAUUACUGAGCUGCCUCCAAGGGAGCACGUUCAUUGAUGACCUGGAGCCAGGCUUGAGAGGUUCUUGGGUAGAGUGGAAGGAAAUGAGGUUAAGGGAGAGGGAGAUAAGCCUCCAGUAGCAGGCUGAGGAGUUCGGCUUUAAUACAGGUGAAGACAGUGG
Long non-coding RNA from Bos taurus (domestic cattle), 1489 nucleotides. The record is from Ensembl. Lineage: Eukaryota; Metazoa; Chordata; Mammalia; Artiodactyla; Bovidae.